UUCCAGAAGGGAUAUAUCUUUGUAACAUCAGUGACUAUUUUGCAUAGGGAUUCCAUUCCUGACCCCUGAGUACAUCGGUGGAGUGUGCAUAAGCCCACCCAAUUCUGCUCCUGCCCCUUUUCAGACACCUUACAUGCACCAAUCGGACACAUGUAAAAUGUUCGCUGUGGUGAGCAUCUCUCAUGUGAUUUAUGUGUGUCUAAGUAAUAUCACUCUUUUAUGGCAAACAAUUAAUGAAAUCAAGCAAGCAAGCAAAGAAACAAACAAACAAAUAAAAUGAGUACUAGCACCCAUGAUUUUAUAUCUUCUCCCUUCCCCCUUUUGAAAUUUAAACUUUGCUUUCCACAAAUAAGAAAUCCCACUGUGAUUUUUACAGGAGUUAAACUGAAAAGUAGGAGAGUUUGGUCUAGCCGCCCUUGCAUUGUAGUCAGUUCACUCCUCUCAAUCCCCAUCUGAAAGCAAUUGAAUAAUUGCAUAAUGGGUUUAGGCUUUCAGCCGCUGAAAUAAUGCCAUUAUGAGUAACAGACGGAAUGUCCAGGACGAGAGGACAACUUCUAACCCUACUGAAACAUCCACAUUUGACUGUUAUUUUCAGUUGAAAAUCCAAGUAUAUGUACAUGUUGAAAGAAGAUCAAGUAAGGUAGAAAAAAAUGUCAUGAAUGAGAGAGACUGUUGCAAAAUAUUAGCAAUCCUUUAUGUCAUUUUGAAAUUCUCUUUGUCUUAUCUCACAAUCAGUGCACUUUGAACACUCUAAGCAAAGUUUAGGAAAGUACUGUUUUCUCGAAAAUACUACAUGUUAGGGCCACUGCUUCUCAGUGCUAUUUUUCUCAGAAAAGAGGUGUGAGAACUCAGCAUUAACACCUCCCUUGUUCUUACAAUGGCAAUGCCACCCACCUGAGAGGUGCCAGAACUGAGUUCCGGUGAAUUCCAGCCGAAGAAAAGCCCUGCUACUUCUAUUUUUUUCUACCAAUACCCUUCAGUCACUAUAUAUGGUCAUAUAUAUGUCAUAUUUCAGUGAACAAAGGGCUGCUGUAACAACCAUGUGUGACAUAGCUACAGAUUUUAUAAAAGCGGCAGAUCAGGUACAAUGCUUCAGAAACUCGCAUAACAUCUGAGUAGACAGUUGGGGCACAGAGGAGCAAAGGAUAAUGUCUCUGUUCCUGGAUCCUUGAAACAUCAAGAACAAUGUCAAGCCGAAGAGGUAGUACAUAUGCCAGCAGGAGGAUCACUCGUAGAGGUUCUACCAGAGGGAGGAGCAGAAGAUGCAAGUCAGGUGCAGAAAUGCCAAUUAAAAAAAGGAAAGGGUAUGUCCGCGUCUGUGCAGUAUACUAUUACUGGAAAGGAAGAAAAUGAUUUCCAGUGAUUCCCUUUCCAUUGCUUAGAACUUCCAUCUUCUGCAUUGGUGAAUCACAGUGACAUCUCCCAUAACAUGGAAACCCAUCAGAUAA
Molecule: long non-coding RNA, 1448 nt
Organism: Podarcis raffonei (Aeolian wall lizard)
Lineage: Eukaryota; Metazoa; Chordata; Lepidosauria; Squamata; Lacertidae
Exons: 2
Source: RefSeq, a predicted model, not a curated record